CGUAACUACAGUCCCGUUCCCUUUUCACGAAUGUGACCUAUCGAAUUAGACCAUUAACCGGGUUUGUAAUAAUAUGAACAAAACGAUUGAUGUCACAUGUGGAGCAGGGUCUGCCUACCCUUCCGGAGCACCUGAGAUCACCCCCAGUUUAUGAUGGGGUUCGUGUUGCUUAUUAUGUAGUUUUAUAUGUUGUGUUUUCUCUAUUAUUGUUGUCUGUUUGUCUUUUAAUUUUUAGCAAUGAUGGCGGCGUCAGUUUAUUUUUGAUUUAUGAAUUUGAAUGUCCCUCGGGUACUUUUCUUCUCUCUUUUAUUCAAUACUCAAAAACUUUUGUUUUCCACCAUAAAUUUCUUAAAAGAAGGUAAGUUGUUUUCCUAAUAGAAGGUAAGUUGUUACAAGGAAGAUAUUGAAACGGUGGUUUCUACUAGAACCUUCCAAGUCCUGCUUUAAAAU
RNAcentral lists this long non-coding RNA (450 nucleotides) under Mytilus galloprovincialis (Mediterranean mussel). The record is from RNAcentral. Lineage: Eukaryota; Metazoa; Mollusca; Bivalvia; Mytilida; Mytilidae.